CCUUAUGGAUUCGCCAUGUCUGUCUGUCUGUCUGUCUGUCUGUCCGUCCGUAUGUCACAGCCACUUUUUUCCGAAACUAUAAGAACUAUACUGUUGAAACUUGGUAAGUAGAUGUAUUCUGUGAACCGCAUUAAGAUUUUCACACAAGAAUAGAAAAAAAAAACAAUAAAUUUUGGGGGUUCCCCAUACUUAGAACUGAAACUCAAAUUUUCUUUUUCAUCAAACCCGUGUGGAUAGAUCUUCAAAAAUGAUAUUGAGGUUUCUAAUAUAAUUGUUUUCUAAACUGAAUAGUUUGCGCGAGAGACACUUCCAAAGUG
This is a long non-coding RNA of Cydia fagiglandana, 317 nucleotides long. RefSeq lists it as uncharacterized. The record is from RefSeq and is a predicted model, not a curated record. Lineage: Eukaryota; Metazoa; Arthropoda; Insecta; Lepidoptera; Tortricidae. The transcript is spliced from 2 exons.